This 1720-nucleotide ribosomal RNA is filed under the name Clostridium sp. AF21-20LB. Its description in RNAcentral is "partial 23S ribosomal RNA". It matches the Rfam family "Bacterial large subunit ribosomal RNA", at positions 32 to 1786 of the family's 2925-position model. Lineage: Bacteria; Bacillati; Bacillota; Clostridia; Eubacteriales; Clostridiaceae. The record is from RNAcentral.
CUUGGCACUAAGAGCCGAUGAAAGACGUGAUAAGCUGCGAAAAGCUUCGGGGAGGAGCAAAUAUCCAUUGAUCCGGAGAUAUCUGAAUGGGGAAACCCGGCUGAGAAGACCUCAGUCAUCCAUACGCCAAUACAUAACGUAUGGAAGGGAACCCGCUGAACUGAAACAUCUAAGUAGGCGGAGGAAGAGAAAGAAACAUCGAUUCCCAAAGUAGCGGCGAGCGAAAUGGGAAGAGCCCAAACCAGAGUGCGUGCACUCUGGGGUUACGGACUGCAUAAGUGAGCUGAUUCGUUAAUGGAACGGUCCUGGAAAGACCGGCCAGAGAGAGUGAAAGCCUCGUACAUGAAAACGAUAAGCAGCGGCAGGAUCCAGAGUACCGCGAGACACGUGGAACCUUGCGGGAAUUCGGGGGGACCACCCCCCAAGGCUAAAUACUCCUUAGUGACCGAUAGCGCAUAGUACUGUGAAGGAAAGGUGAAAAGGACCCCGGGAGGGGAGUGAAAGAGAACCUGAAACCCUGUGUUUACAAGCUGUGGAAGCACGUUAAGGUGCAACCGCGUACUUUUUGUAGAACGGUCCGGCGAGUUGCGGAUGCUGGCGAGGUUAAGGAGUAAAGCUCCGGAGCCGAAGCGAGAGCGAGUCUUAAUAGGGCGUAAAGUCAGCAUGUGCAGACCCGAAACCGGGUGACCUAUCCAUGUCCAGGUUGAAGUUCCCGUAAAAGGGAAUGGAGGACCGAACGCACAUCCGUUGAAAAGGGUGGCGAUGAGGUGUGGAUAGGGGAGAAAUUCCAAUCGAACCCGGAGAUAGCUGGUUCUCCUCGAAAUAGCUUUAGGGCUAGCCUCGUAUUAGUUUAGCGGAGGUAGAGCACUGAAUUUCCUAGGGGGCGUCAAAGUCUACCGAAGAAUAUCAAACUCCGAAUGCCGCAUAAAUGAUGUACGGGAGUCAGACUGCACGAGAUAAGUUGGGUAGUCAAAAGGGAAAGAGCCCAGACCUACAGCUAAGGUCCCAAAGUGUGUGUUAAGUGGAAAAGGAUGUGGGAUUUCGAAGACAACUAGGAUGUUGGCUCAGAAGCAGCCACACAUUCAAAGAGUGCGUAAUAGCUCACUAGUCGAGAGGUCCUGCGCCGAAAAUGUCCGGGGCUAAAACACAACACCGAAGCUUAGGAAUGUAAUUAUACAUUGGUAGAGGAGCAUUCUUAAAGAGACGAAGCAGUACCGAUAAGGAGCUGUGGAUUUUUAAGAAGAGAGAAUGCCGGAAUGAGUAGCGAGAUGGAGGUGGGAAUCCUCCAGGCCGAAUAUCUAAGGUUUCCAGAGUAAAGCUGAUCUGCUCUGGGUAAGUCGGGGCCUAAGGCGAGGUCGAAAGACGUAGUCGAUGGAUAACAGGUUGAAAUUCCUGUACUGCAUAUCAUCAGAACUGUGGGGACACAGAGAGAUACCGGAACCUGGGAAUGAAGAUACCAGGGCAAGCGAGGUAGGUGCUAAGCUGGCAAAACCGCUUAGUAAGCCGAAGACGUGAUGCGGAGCGAAUUAAAGUAGCGAAGUCCGGGAUUCGAGCUGUCGAGAAAAGCCGCUAUUGUGUGAUAUGUACCCGUACCGUAAACCGACACAGGUGGAUGAGGAGAGAAUCCUAAGGCCGGCGGGAGAAGCAUUGUUAAGGAACUCGGCAAAAUGACCCUGUAACUUCGGGAUAAAGGGUGCCACAGAGAUGUGGCCGCAGAGAA